AUCCUACGAAUCUGAACGAAGCUUGAAUUGUGAUCAACUCUUUGAUCCUUUUCUUGAUCUUUUUCUUCUAUUCUUUUUUUAUUUUUAUUUUCUUGAUUAUAAAGCAACAAAGAUCUGAAAAUCAAUAAGCAAGGAGGGAUGCCCAAGCUCCUCUUGGGCAUGGAGAUAGAGGAUGCCCAAUGCCUUUGGGCAGUGGAACCAAAUGGGAGA
RNAcentral lists this long non-coding RNA (210 nucleotides) under Elaeis guineensis (African oil palm). RNAcentral describes it as "long non-coding RNA (EGUI_LNC009562)". Lineage: Eukaryota; Viridiplantae; Streptophyta; Magnoliopsida; Arecales; Arecaceae. The record is from RNAcentral.